GGAUCACUAAGUACACUAUCAGAC
RNAcentral lists this non-coding RNA (24 nucleotides) under Arabidopsis thaliana (thale cress). Lineage: Eukaryota; Viridiplantae; Streptophyta; Magnoliopsida; Brassicales; Brassicaceae. The record is from RNAcentral.